This 1144-nucleotide long non-coding RNA is filed under the name Physcomitrium patens. Its description in RNAcentral is "long non-coding RNA (PPAT_LNC009695)". The record is from RNAcentral. Lineage: Eukaryota; Viridiplantae; Streptophyta; Bryopsida; Funariales; Funariaceae.
UAUUUAUUUAAUUCAUAAUAGGUAAUUUUGAAAUAAAUGAUCAUACUAAAUUACUUAUUACUAUUGAUAUCAAGGUAUUUAUCUUAAUGUACAAAUUUACACAUAAAAAUAUAUUGUAGAAAAAUAGAAUCAUUGCUCAUAUUAAUGAUUUCAUAAAAUCAUAUUAAUGAUUUUAGAAAUAAUGAUAAAAAAUAUCUUGUGCUAUAAAAAUGUAAAUGCACAGUCAUACUUUUUUAUUAUCAUAGAAGUAAUUUCUAAUAUUGAAUUCUAAGAGUUAGUGAAUUUCAAAAGACACGACUUUUAAAAUGAUAAUGCAAAUUUUGUUUAUCUUUAAGAAUGGCAAUACAUAGUGAACUUGGUGUCAUUUCUGCCUAAGAAAAAAAAAGAUAUAAGAAAAUCUUUCUGGAUACUUAAGAUAAUAACAAAACAAUAGAACUUGUAAAAAAAAUCAAUCUUCUUUCUUAAAAAAUAAUAAAAAGCCUGUAAAAAUCCCAAGAAAACAGAUUUCCUUAUCAAUUUGUGUAUUUAUGUGUAUAUAUAUAUAUAUAUAUAUAUAUAUAUAUCAAAUUUUAAUUUUUCUUUAAAUUAAUCAGAUUACAAUGAAAAAAAGAUUACCAUCUCAAAGAAGAGUCUUAUUGAAUCUGAAAGUUACAUAUUUGAUCAAGAAGAACUUUCAAGUUUAGGAGCAAUGAUAUCCUUUAAUUUCUUCAUAUUUCAAUAGACCAAAAAAUUUAAAAUCUUUUAGAAGUUUAACUGUACUUUUCUAUUUAAAUAAAAUAAAAGAAUUUUGUGUGAUAUUUUGAGUAUUUGAAUAAAUACACAAAUAAUAAAGGCGUCAAUUAUGGUCUCAAAAAUAAUGAAACCUAAGAUAGUCAUUUCUUUCAGGUAGAACAAAUUUAUAGAUGAAAAUUUGUUCCCAAAAAAAAUCAUAAAAAUAAAAAUAAAAUAAAAAAUGAACUUUCCAGAUCUUUCAUAUGUUCAAUACGAGUUCAUAAUCAAUAAACUAAGUUUUCUAAAAGAACUAAAACUCAGUAAAAGCAGAAAAAAAAUUCUUGCACACACUUGAAAUUCUACAACAACAAUGAUAAUAUUUUUUCAAUAAUUCAUCCUUUGUAUUAAAAAAAAAAAAAAAAAAAAAAAAAAA